GGAGUUGGCCAGGCAGUCGCUCUUCGCGUCGGCAACGACCGUGGAGGGAGGAAAGUCCGGGCUCCACAGGGCAAGGUGCCAGGUAACGCCUGGGGGGCGCGAGCCUACGGAAAGUGCCACAGAAAAUAUACCGCCCCGUGCCUUUACGGCGCGAGGUAAGGGUGAAAUGGUGCGGUAAGAGCGCACCGCGUUGCCGGUAACGGGAACGGCACGGUAAACCCCACCCGGAGCAAGACCAAAUAGGGGAGCGGCGGCUUCGGCCCAGCGUGCGGCCCGCACGGCUCCCGGGUAGGUCGCUUGAGGCGCAUGGUGACGUGCGUCCCAGAUGAAUGGCUGCCCACGACAGAACCCGGCUUAUCGGCUGACUCCUCCU
Molecule: RNase P RNA, 373 nt
Filed under: Methylolobus aquaticus
Lineage: Bacteria; Pseudomonadati; Pseudomonadota; Gammaproteobacteria; Methylococcales; Methylococcaceae
Description: RNase P RNA component class A
Rfam family: Bacterial RNase P class A
About the family: Ribonuclease P (RNase P) is a ubiquitous endoribonuclease, found in archaea, bacteria and eukarya as well as chloroplasts and mitochondria. Its best characterised activity is the generation of mature 5'-ends of tRNAs by cleaving the 5'-leader elements of precursor-tRNAs. Cellular RNase Ps are ribonucleoproteins.
Source: RNAcentral